Ictalurus punctatus (channel catfish) is the source of this 642-nucleotide long non-coding RNA. The record is from Ensembl. Lineage: Eukaryota; Metazoa; Chordata; Actinopteri; Siluriformes; Ictaluridae.
AUUUUGAUUGGUGAACAUCUUUUGCACACUGAGGGGGAGGUGGUGGAGUGGGGGUGGUUGGAAUAGAAUCGGCGCUUUCCACGGUUUAGAAAUUGCACGUGUUCACAUCGGGAUUUUAUUGCGAUGUGGGUUAAUCGCACAGCCCUAGUAUAGAGGCUACACAUUUUUCACUAAGACUUACAGGUAUAGAGGCCACGCCUCCUUCCCUUACCGCUUAGACUGACGGGGAUAGAGGCCACACCCCUUUCACUUAGACUGACAGGUAUAGAGGCCACACCCCUUUCACUUAGACUGACAGGUAUAGAGGCCACGCCUCCUUCCCUUACCACUUAGACCGACGGGUAUAGAGGCCACACCUCCUUCACUUAGACUGACAGGUAUACAGACCACACCUCCUUCACUUAGACUGACAGGUAUACAGACCACACCUCCUUCACUUAGACUGACAGGUAUAGAGGCCACUCCUCCUUCACUUAGACUGACAGGUAUAGAGACCACUCCUCCUUCACUUAGACUGACAGGUAUAGAGGCCACUCCUCCUUCACUUAGACUGACAGGUAUAGAGGCCACUCCUCCUUCACUUAGACUGACAGGUAUAGAGGCCACUCCUCCUUCACUCAUAUUGACAUGACUGAGACACAU